RNAcentral lists this long non-coding RNA (994 nucleotides) under Struthio camelus australis. Its description in RNAcentral is "lncRNA (ENSSCUG00000010717.1)". Lineage: Eukaryota; Metazoa; Chordata; Aves; Struthioniformes; Struthionidae. The record is from RNAcentral.
AUGGACCCGCCUCAUCAUGAUGUCCUUGGCUGGCAAUCUUCAGACUACUGGCUGACCCUGGUUACCAUUACCAGACCUGCUCUCCUCUUCUUGUUCGGGUACUGUGGCACUGUGCCCUGUUGCCUCGCCUACAGUGUUGCUGGCACACGAGUAGCCAAGGACAAAGAAUGGAUGAAACUGCCUCUUUGAGGAGCACCUUGAACUUACUGUGGAUUAAAAUGAGUGGCUCCACAGUACGCAGUCUUUUCUGGUGCCCCUCGAAUGACUCUUCUUCUCUCUUCCAAAUUCCACGCUGUCACGAAACAGAAUACUACUAAGUAGAUUUAAAAGAGCUAUCACCUUGAAAAUAAUGUUUUUUUUUCCUCUAGACCAAAUGGGAAAGGAAAGAGGGAGGGACAAGAAGCAAAAGUUCACACUGGCCUGAAUUGUUUCUUUAGAGGAUUGCUUCUUUUAAAACUCAUUGCAUUGGAAUUUUCUGAAUGUAAAUCACAUGAAUUGUUUCAAUUUGUUUCAGGUUUUAAUCAAAGCUCAUUUUACCCUACAAACAAAUACACUGAAUCCAAGUUUGAGAAGAUAGAUUAUUCUUUUAAAGACUUAUUUAUUUUACUUUUAAAAAUUCAGUUCAUCUCUAGAAUGGCUUCUGUACAUGAUUUUGUUUGUUUUUCUGCUAUUAUUCUGCUGUGGGUAAUGUAAAAUGCAUUUCUAUCAGACUUAUUUUUGUCAUGGGUUUUGCUUUUCAGAGGUUCAGCAUUUUAAAUUAUAUCUGAAGAUACCAGUUUUUAAAUCUGUUACGUUCAUCCAUAUCUGUUCUGCAUUCCAUUGAGAAAAGCCAAGAGCACUGGGUGCCUGAACACUUUAGGAAUACUACAGAUGUUUGCUAUAUGGAUCUUUCAGACAAAUGUUAGCAUUUUGAUCAUGUCUCAGUAAAUAGGGAUGUCACCUGGAGGAGGUGUUUCUUAAGGGGCAAGUCCCAAGGAGGAAAAACAGAUGGGCA